AAAAAAUUGACUUUUCCUGUUGACCGAGCACUGAUUAGAUGAUGAAAUGAGCUUACAAUAGAUAUGAGUGCAUGGGAUAGCUGGCAAUCUUGACCAAAUCUCAACCGUUCAUGAUUCAAUGGCCAUGAUUGUGCCACGUGGCAAUGGUUGGUGAAGCAAGUUGGAGGAUCCGAAUCUUUGUAUUCGGGUCAACCCGAUCCACCCAUUAACCCGCCAAAUCUCAACCGUUCUUUGGGCAAAU
This 241-nucleotide long non-coding RNA is filed under the name Citrus sinensis (sweet orange). RNAcentral's name for it is "long non-coding RNA (CSIN_LNC003285)". Lineage: Eukaryota; Viridiplantae; Streptophyta; Magnoliopsida; Sapindales; Rutaceae. The record is from RNAcentral.